GGCCCUUACGACCAGGGCUACACACGUGCUACAAUGGCAUAUACAAAGAGAAGCGACCUCGCGAGAGCAAGCGGACCUCAUAAAGUAUGUCGUAGUCCGGAUUGGAGUCUGCAACUCGACUCCAUGAAGUCGGAAUCGCUAGUAAUCGUAGAUCAGAAUGCUACGGUGAAUACGUUCCCGGGCCUUGUACACACCGCCCGUCACACCAUGGGAGUGGGUUGCAAAAGAAGUAGGUAGCUUAACCUUCGGGAGGGCGCUUACCACUUUGUGAUUCAUGACUGGGGUGAAGUCGUAACAAGGUAACCGUAGGGGAACCUGCGGUUGGAUCACCUCCUU
This 336-nucleotide ribosomal RNA is filed under the name Klebsiella pneumoniae. RNAcentral describes it as "bacterial SSU rRNA". It matches the Rfam family "Bacterial small subunit ribosomal RNA", at positions 1197 to 1532 of the family's 1533-position model. RNAcentral also lists the same sequence under 1 other name. The record is from RNAcentral. Lineage: Bacteria; Pseudomonadati; Pseudomonadota; Gammaproteobacteria; Enterobacterales; Enterobacteriaceae.